GACGAACGCUGGCGGCGUGCUUAACACAUGCAAGUCGAACGAUGAAGCCUAGCUUGCUAGGUGGAUUAGUGGCGAACGGGUGAGUAAUACGUGAGUAACCUACCUUUAACUCUGGGAUAAGCCUGGGAAACUGGGUCUAAUACCGGAUACGACCAAUCUCCGCAUGGGGUGUUGGUGGAAAGCGUUAUGUAGUGGUUAUAGAUGGGCUCACGGCCUAUCAGCUUGUUGGUGAGGUAACGGCUCACCAAGGCGACGACGGGUAGCCGGCCUGAGAGGGUGACCGGCCACACUGGGACUGAGACACGGCCCAGACUCCUACGGGAGGCAGCAGUGGGGAAUAUUGCACAAUGGGCGCAAGCCUGAUGCAGCGACGCCGCGUGAGGGAUGACGGCCUUCGGGUUGUAAACCUCUGUUAGCAGGGAAGAAGAGAAAUUGACGGUACCUGCAGAGAAAGCGCCGGCUAACUACGUGCCAGCAGCCGCGGUAAUACGUAGGGCGCGAGCGUUGUCCGGAAUUAUUGGGCGUAAAGAGCUUGUANGCGGUUUGUCGCGUCUGCUGUGAAGGCCGGGGCUUAACCCCGUGUAUUGCAGUGGGUACGGGCAGACUAGAGUGCAGUAGGGGAGACUGGAAUUCCUGGUGUAGCGGUGGAAUGCGCAGAUAUCAGGAGGAACACCGAUGGCGAAGGCAGGUCUCUGGGCUGUAACUGACGCUGAGAAGCGAAAGCAUGGGGAGCGAACAGGAUUAGGUACCCUGGUAGUCCAUGCCGUAAACGUUGGGCACUAGGUGUGGGGGACAUUCCACGUUUUCCGCGCCGUAGCUAACGCAUUAAGUGCCCCGCCUGGGGAGUACGGCCGCAAGGCUAAAACUCAAAGAAAUUGACGGGGGCCCGCACAAGCGGCGGAGCAUGCGGAUUAAUUCGAUGCAACGCGAAGAACCCUACCAAGGCUUGACAUAUACUGGACCGCAUCAGAGAUGGUGUUUCCCUUCGGGGCUGGUAUACAGGUGGUGCAUGGUUGUCGUCAGCUCGUGUCGUGAGAUGUUGGGUUAAGUCCCGCAACGAGCGCAACCCUCGUUCUAUGUUGCCAGCACGUUAUGGUGGGGACUCAUAGGAGACUGCCGGGGUCAACUCGGAGGAAGGUGGGGAUGACGUCAAAUCAUCAUGCCCCUUAUGUCUUGGGCUUCACGCAUGCUACAAUGGCCGGUACAGAGGGUUGCGAUACUGUGAGGUGGAGCUAAUCCCUAAAAGCCGGUCUCAGUUCGGAUUGGGGUCUGCAACUCGACCCCAUGAAGUCGGAGUCGCUAGUAAUCGCAGAUCAGCAACGCUGCGGUGAAUACGUUCCCGGGCCU
Molecule: ribosomal RNA, 1347 nt
Filed under: uncultured bacterium
Lineage: Bacteria
Description: bacterial SSU rRNA
Rfam family: Bacterial small subunit ribosomal RNA
Source: RNAcentral